This 23-nucleotide non-coding RNA is filed under the name Arabidopsis thaliana (thale cress). Lineage: Eukaryota; Viridiplantae; Streptophyta; Magnoliopsida; Brassicales; Brassicaceae. The record is from RNAcentral.
GUCCCUCGCGUAUGGCUGUUUGC